RNAcentral lists this small nuclear RNA (103 nucleotides) under Brassica oleracea var. oleracea. The record is from RNAcentral. Lineage: Eukaryota; Viridiplantae; Streptophyta; Magnoliopsida; Brassicales; Brassicaceae.
UGUCCUUUCGGAAACAUCCGAAUAAAAUUGAAACUAUACAGAGACGAUUAGCAUGGCCCCUGCGCAAAGAAGACACACAAAUCGAAAAAUUGUCCAAAUUCUU